CGGGUAAGUUCCGACCUGCACGAAUGGCGUAAUGAUGGCCAGGCUGUCUCCACCCGAGACUCAGUGAAAUUGAACUCGCUGUGAAGAUGCAGUGUACCCGCGGCAAGACGGAAAGACCCCGUGAACCUUUACUAUAGCUUGACACUGAACAUUGAGCCUUGAUGUGUAGGAUAGGUGGGAGGCUUUGAAGUGUGGACGCCAGUCUGCAUGGAGCCGACCUUGAAAUACCACCCUUUAAUGUUUGAUGUUCUAACGUUGACCCGUAAUCCGGGUUGCGGACAGUGUCUGGUGGGUAGUUUGACUGGGGCGGUCUCCUCCUAAAGAGUAACGGAGGAGCACGAAGGUUGGCUAAUCCUGGUCGGACAUCAGGAGGUUAGUGCAAUGGCAUAAGCCAGCUUGACUGCGAGCGUGACGGCGCGAGCAGGUGCGAAAGCAGGUCAUAGUGAUCCGGUGGUUCUGAAUGGAAGGGCCAUCGCUCAACGGAUAAAAGGUACUCCGGGGAUAACAGGCUGAUACCGCCCAAGAGUUCAUAUCGACGGCGGUGUUUGGCACCUCGAUGUCGGCUCAUCACAUCCUGGGGCUGAAGUAGGUCCCAAGGGUAUGGCUGUUCGCCAUUUAAAGUGGUACGCGAGCUGGGUUUAGAACGUCGUGAGACAGUUCGGUCCCUAUCUGCCGUGGGCGCUGGAGAACUG
RNAcentral lists this ribosomal RNA (692 nucleotides) under Escherichia coli. RNAcentral's name for it is "partial 23S ribosomal RNA". It matches the Rfam family "Bacterial large subunit ribosomal RNA", at positions 1973 to 2664 of the family's 2925-position model. Lineage: Bacteria; Pseudomonadati; Pseudomonadota; Gammaproteobacteria; Enterobacterales; Enterobacteriaceae. The record is from RNAcentral.